GAACGGGUGAGUAACACGUGAGCAACCUGCCCCAGGCUUUGGGAUAACCCCGGGAAACCGGGGCUAAUACCGAAUAUGACCUUGCACCGCAUGGUGUUUGGUGGAAAGUUUUUCGGCUUGGGAUGGGCUCGCGGCCUAUCAGCUUGUUGGUGGGGUGAUGGCCUACCAAGGCGACGACGGGUAGCCGGCCUGAGAGGGCGACCGGCCACACUGGGACUGAGACACGGCCCAGACUCCUACGGGAGGCAGCAGUGGGGAAUAUUGCACAAUGGGCGGAAGCCUGAUGCAGCGACGCCGCGUGAGGGAUGACGGCCUUCGGGUUGUAAACCUCUUUCAGCAGGGACGAAGCGUAAGUGACGGUACCUGCAGAAGAAGCGCCGGCCAACUACGUGCCAGCAGCCGCGGUAAGACGUAGGGCGCGAGCGUUGUCCGGAUUUAUUGGGCGUAAAGAGCUCGUAGGCGGCUUGUCGCGUCGACUGUGAAAACCCGCAGCUCAACUGCGGGCCUGCAGUCGAUACGGGCAGGCUAGAGUUCGGUAGGGGAGACUGGAAUUCCUGGUGUAGCGGUGAAAUGCGCAGAUAUCAGGAGGAACACCGGUGG
This 600-nucleotide ribosomal RNA is filed under the name Micromonospora tulbaghiae. RNAcentral describes it as "bacterial SSU rRNA". It matches the Rfam family "Bacterial small subunit ribosomal RNA", at positions 100 to 715 of the family's 1533-position model. Lineage: Bacteria; Bacillati; Actinomycetota; Actinomycetes; Micromonosporales; Micromonosporaceae. The record is from RNAcentral.